This 1108-nucleotide ribosomal RNA is filed under the name Bacillus subtilis. Its description in RNAcentral is "bacterial SSU rRNA". It matches the Rfam family "Bacterial small subunit ribosomal RNA", at positions 61 to 1141 of the family's 1533-position model. Lineage: Bacteria; Bacillati; Bacillota; Bacilli; Caryophanales; Bacillaceae. The record is from RNAcentral.
GUCGAGCGGACAGAUGGGAGCUUGCUCCCUGAUGUUAGCGGCGGACGGGUGAGUAACACGUGGGUAACCUGCCUGUAAGACUGGGAUAACUCCGGGAAACCGGGGCUAAUACCGGAUGCUUGUUUGAACCGCAUGGUUCAAACAUAAAAGGUGGCUUCGGCUACCACUUACAGAUGGACCCGCGGCGCAUUAGCUAGUUGGUGAGGUAACGGCUCACCAAGGCAACGAUGCGUAGCCGACCUGAGAGGGUGAUCGGCCACACUGGGACUGAGACACGGCCCAGACUCCUACGGGAGGCAGCAGUAGGGAAUCUUCCGCAAUGGACGAAAGUCUGACGGAGCAACGCCGCGUGAGUGAUGAAGGUUUUCGGAUCGUAAAGCUCUGUUGUUAGGGAAGAACAAGUACCGUUCGAAUAGGGCGGUACCUUGACGGUACCUAACCAGAAAGCCACGGCUAACUACGUGCCAGCAGCCGCGGUAAUACGUAGGUGGCAAGCGUUGUCCGGAAUUAUUGGGCGUAAAGGGCUCGCAGGCGGUUUCUUAAGUCUGAUGUGAAAGCCCCCGGCUCAACCGGGGAGGGUCAUUGGAAACUGGGGAACUUGAGUGCAGAAGAGGAGAGUGGAAUUCCACGUGUAGCGGUGAAAUGCGUAGAGAUGUGGAGGAACACCAGUGGCGAAGGCGACUCUCUGGUCUGUAACUGACGCUGAGGAGCGAAAGCGUGGGGAGCGAACAGGAUUAGAUACCCUGGUAGUCCACGCCGUAAACGAUGAGUGCUAAGUGUUAGGGGGUUUCCGCCCCUUAGUGCUGCAGCUAACGCAUUAAGCACUCCGCCUGGGGAGUACGGUCGCAAGACUGAAACUCAAAGGAAUUGACGGGGGCCCGCACAAGCGGUGGAGCAUGUGGUUUAAUUCGAAGCAACGCGAAGAACCUUACCAGGUCUUGACAUCCCCUGACAAUCCUAGAAGAUAGGACGUCCCCCUUCGGGGGGCAGAGUGACAGGUGGUGCAUGGGUUGUCGUCAGCUCCGUGUCGUUGAGAUGUUGGGGUUAAGUCCCGCAACCGAGCGCAACCCUUUGAUCUUAGUUUGCCAGCAUUCAGUUGGGGCACUCU